This 496-nucleotide ribosomal RNA is filed under the name uncultured bacterium. Its description in RNAcentral is "partial 16S ribosomal RNA". It matches the Rfam family "Bacterial small subunit ribosomal RNA", at positions 28 to 506 of the family's 1533-position model. The record is from RNAcentral.
GAUGAACGCUGGCGGCGUGCCUAAUACAUGCAAGUCGAGCGAACAGACGAGGAGCUUGCUCCUCUGACGUUAGCGGCGGACGGGUGAGUAACACGUGGAUAACCUACCUAUAAGACUGGGAUAACUUCGGGAAACCGGAGCUAAUACCGGAUAAUAUAUUGAACCGCAUGGUUCAAUAGUGAAAGACGGUUUUGCUGUCACUUAUAGAUGGAUCCGCGCCGCAUUAGCUAGUUGGUAAGGUAACGGCUUACCAAGGCAACGAUGCGUAGCCGACCUGAGAGGGUGAUCGCCCACACUGAAACUGAGACACGGUCCAGACUCCUACGGGAGGCACCAGUAGGGAAUCUUCCGCAAUGGGCGAAAGCCUGCCGGAGCACCGCCGCGUGAGUGAUGAAGUUCUUCGGAUCGUAAACCUCUGUUAUUAGGGAAGAACAAAUUUGUAAGUAACUAUGCCCGUCUGGCCGGUACCUAAUCAGAAAGCCCCGCCUACUUCCGU